AAGCGAUUUAGUCUUUCCAAAUCUGGUUUAUUAUUUCCAAAGACGUGCAACACCUCCUCUCUGGCACGUACUUGCCACUCUGGAUGUAAGCACAGCAAAAUCAUUGUCCAGACGAGCAACACUGAAGUAGUCUCUUGUCCAGCAAAAUAGAAUAACUUGCACUCUUCAAUCACUUCAACUGUUGUCAUUCCGAAAUCUUUGCUUCCGUGUUGUUCAAUUUCUUUCAUAUUGGAUUCAAGUAAUAUGCCUAAUAAGUCAUCUUUACUAGGCUCCCCUGCUUCCAUUGCCCUCAAUCUUUUGUCGAUGAUACACCUGAUCGUUGUUUGGACUUGCUUUUCGAUUUCCAGCAUUCUUUUGUUCCUUUUAGUAGGCAAGAACCUAUAUAAACAAGAAAAGUCUGUUAGUAGAAAAAAUUUCAUAUUUAAUUACAGAGAGAUUUGACAAGCGCAAAAGUAAGUUUUGAACGUGGAAAUGUGAUGUACCUUGAUCCUGGUAUAUAAAUUGAUCGUCCUUUUUCGAUUACAUACUCAGCUUGUUCUUUCUGAAGUUCAAAUACUGUUCUUCCUUCUUCAUAGCUACUCCCAAAUGCUGUACGAGAUAUGACUUCACUAGCCAUUAUUUGAAGGUCUGGCCAUACAUCGAGUUCAAAUGAUGUUCCCUUUGGAACAAUUUCCUCCCAUUUGCUUAGCAUUUCACUACAACUCACAUAAAAUGCUGGCAGCAUAUGCUGUAAAUGAAAAAACCAGCAAAUGCUUGUUAUAAAAUUAGUUGUCUUACUUCCCUUCUAAGUCUCUUUAAAAAAGAACGUUUCUUUCUAUAUAAUAUAUCCUACAUGGAAUGUUUAGACCACAAGAUUUAAAUGAUAUUUUGGUAUAUUAUACACAACAUCUAUAGUUUAAGACCACAAGAUCCAAGAGACUCCCUUAUUUUCUUAACCAUUGUCCUUGCCCAAUCAAACUACAACAACAUACUCAGUGUAAUCCCACAAGUGAGGUCUGAAAAGGGUGGUGUGUACGUCGACCUUACCCCUACCUUGUAAAGGUAGAGAGGUCAAGUAUAACAAUUCAAAAUAGGUUUGAAAAGCUAAUGAAGAAAAAACGUUGAAAAUAAUGGAGAAGGGAACAAAUAUAACGGAAGGAGUAAUAAAGUAGAACCUUUAACUUCUCUACGUGGAACACGGGAUUGAUGAUUUUUCUGUGUUUGGCCCAUUUGUCUCCAUCAAUGGCUGAUAGACCGUCAGCCAAUAACUUGGUCAUUGGAUUGACAUGACGCUGCUUUACAUACACAUAAUUCUUUGUGAAAAUCUCUUUUACAUGUUCAGGAUCUGUGAUCAACACUGUUGGAUAUGGGCCUAGCCACACAAAAGAACUUUUACCUGCCAGUAAUCUGUUUCCGAUUAGAAAAAAAGAAGAAGAAGGUAUAGCACAUAAACAAACACUCAAAUUUGAUUUCAGUCGACAAAUAAUCACUCCAACUUUGAGGUUCAAAUCUAGACACCUCAACUUAGUCUCAACUAGCAACUAAACGCUUCACUCGUCUCCACUGUGUCUUAUAGACACCCAACGCUAGCGUAACACAUAAAUAUUACACGUGUCUAAAUGAUCAUCACAUAAUAGAGACAAGUUGAAGUGUUAGAUGUGCAUACUCAAAGUUGCGGUGUUUACUUUCCAACUGAAUCAAUAAAAGAAACAUAUACCAUUUUUGUUGAUGGAGUUGAGGAAAAAGGGAUGAGUCUUUGAGCUAUAUCAUCAGAGAAAUUGAUAGGCUUAGACUUUGCUUCAACUAUACUUUUUGUGAAUUCAUUCAAAUCUCCAUAGAGUAACUUAUAUGGAUUUCCUUUUAGACCCCUUUGCCUUAAGAUAUUCUCCAAUUUUUUUGGCCUAAACCAUGCCCAAUUCAACACUCUCCAUGUAAAUACCAACAAUAUUGCAACACAAAUUGUUGCUAUAAUUGUGUUGGACAAAAUCUCCAUCAAAUUAUCUUUCUAGCUGUUUAUUUUUACAUAGAAAAAAGAGGGGAAAUAGCUAAUUUACCUUUUUGAUUUGUUGUUGUUUCGACAAGAUAAGGCCUAGCUGUUCUCUCCACCACAAAUACAUCAUGGUACCAUACUAAUAAAGAGUUUUGUCCAAUCUGUUUGGAUCCACUGAUCAAUUUUAUGAUUUUUCUAGGAAAAUUAAUAAGCGGAUUUCUUAUUUAUUUUCUUCUACUCUAUAUAAAUGUAUAUAUAUCCCUCGUCAUAUUGGGAGAAAUAUAUUUGGACUUAAAGUAUAACUGAAAGGGUAUAUUUGGAAUUCUACCCAAAGGUAUAACAAGGAGUAUAUUUAAACUAUUUCUUUUAGCACUAGAGUAUAUUUGGUCGUUUCUCCAUAUAUAUAAUCUAGAAAAAUACUAUGGGAGGCAGGGAUGGGGCCUAGGAAUUGUGAGGGUGAAGAAGAGGUGUGUUGGAAGGUCAAGAAGACACAAUCAAUGUGAAAUGUCACUUGUGAUACUUGUUUUUCCUACUUCUACUACAAAAGUCAUAUUCCAGCUCAUUUUUAAGUAAUUUUCGUAAAAAAAAUGUAUUCCAAAAUUUUGAUCAAUCAAAAAUGAAAAAAUUGAAAUUUCUCCGUACCAAACACACACACAUAUAAGUAAAUAAAAAUGUAUUGUUAUUCCUCUUAAAUUUUACAAAAAACAAAAUUAUGUCAUGAGUUAUUGAACUUAACCAGCUGUAGCCAUGAUAUCUUACCAAUCACAUUUGCUCAAGGCAUACAACUUAACAAUAGGAUCUUUACCCUACCAUGAAUCCAAAAUCAACUAAUUUGUAACCCCAAAAACCCAAAUCUGGUUUAUCAUUUCCAAAUACCCACAACACCUCCUCUCUAGCACAUACUUGCCACUCCGGAGGUAGGCAGAGGCGAAACCAAGAUUAAGAAUUUGGGGGUUCUAAAUUUUUUUAAUAACUGUCAAUCAAUUUUGUUAGGAGUUCACAAAUUAAUAUACAUAUAUAUUUAAUUAAUUUUUUAGUACAAAUAUAAGGUCUACAAAAAAGCUACUGAAUUUAUCUGAACCCAUGAACCUCACCUAGCUCCGCAUCUGGACGUAGGCACAACAAAAUCAUUGUACAUACGAGCAACACUGAAGUGGCCUCUUGUCCAGCAAAAUAGAAUAACUUGCACUCUACACCAUACAAAUAUUUCAGACAAUUAUUUUUUAAGUAUCCUAUCAAAUCAAACCAACUCAUCUCAAAUAGACUAACUCAUUCAUAUCUACACAGAGUCUUAAUCAGUAUCAAUAUGAUGUAUACGUUCAGAAAAAUGUGAAGAUAGAUUUUUGUCACCACUCUAUCCACCAUAUAUAUAUAUAUAAAAUAAGGCACUCAAAAAAAAAGAAGAAAGAAUUAAUCAAAAAUCAGGACCACAUAAAAGAACAAAAUUAAUUUAUUUUUUAAAAAAAAAAAAACUAGCUUCUUUUAUUACUUCCUCUCCCCCAAUCAAUAUCACUCACUUUAAAUAUUACUAUAUGUCCCUAAUUACUUGUCCACUUUUGAAUUGACACACUUAUUAAGAAAAUAAUUAAUGACAUAGUGAGUUUAUCAUUUUACCCCUAUUAAUUAUGAAGUGGAUGAAAAGUUCUACAUUUUCAAAAUAAUUAGUCAUUAAAUUGAGGGUAUAAUAGGUAAAAAGAAUUUGUCCUUUCUCGAUUUGUCAAAAUGGACAAGUAAUUAGGGACAACAAUAAAAGGAAAAGUGGACAAAUAAUUAGGGACAUAGGGAGUAUUAGCAGAAGAAACUCAAAGGACUAAGAAAAUAAUUAAAUGCUUGGAAUGUGAAAAGGGAGUAAAUAUGAAGUAGAAAUGUUAGUGCCUUUAAAAACUUUGUGCUCAAAUAUUGCCAUGUAAUGUCAGAUUCCAAUUAAAUCUCUUACCUCUUAAUUACACACAAGUUCAUAAAAAUUAAAACGUUUUGGAUUUUCUUUCAAUUUUUAAUUAAAAGUCUUUUAAAUAAACAUUAAAUAUGAAAGAGAAAUACUCCCUCUGUCCCUAAUUACUUGCCCACUUUUGAAUUGAUACACCUAUUAAGAAAAAUUAUUGACAUAGUGAGUUUACCAUUUUACUCCUAUUAAUUAUGAAGUGGAUGAAUUAAAAACUUAAUAUUUCAAGAAGUUCUACAUAUUUCAAAGUAAUUAAUUGAGGGUAUAAUAGAUAAAAAUUGUAUCAUUUUUUUAUUUGUCAAAAUAGACAAGUAAUUAGGGACAACUAAAAAAGGAAAUGUGGACAAGUAAUUAGGGACAUAGGGAGUAUGAGUGUAUUAUAAAACUUCUUGCUCAAAUGUUGUCUUAUUCUAUAAAUAAUCAUAUUCCAACUAAAUCUCUUACCUCUUAAUUACACACCAAAUUCAUAAAAAUUAAAACGAUUUAUUUUACUCUAUUGUUUUUGAAUUAAUUUCCUAUCUUUUUUCUUCUUAUUUAUAUAAUGAUAACAUAAUAAUAUACUAAUAUUUUAUAUGUAUAAAAAAUCAGCCCACGUAAUAGUAAUAUAUCAUGCCUUCAAUAUUGAGUUUUAAUUCCUCAAUAAACUGAAUAAUUAAUGGAUAGUGAAUGUCUAUGUUUCUUCAUCUUUCCCCUUCCUAUAACCCCCAUAUAUUCAACAAUUACACUUACAUUUACUUUUUACAUCAAAUUUUGGGAACAAUGAUUUUUAAAUAAUAUUGUUGCAUAUAUAUAUUUUUCAUUCCUUUUCAACAAUAGUGUAUGUUAUGCUGAUUAAUAAAUAGUGUAUAUGUGAUGCUGAUAUAUAAUAAAAGAAAAGGUAAUGCAAAUAGAGAGGUGAUCGUAUAGGUACGUAAUUCUUUUGUCCACUUUUAAUUAAUUUAUUUUUGGAUGAGGGAGAAUGCUUUUAUGAUGAUAUGAAAAUUUUGAUUAAUAUCUAUUUGAUAUUUUUUUUGUUGUGAUAAAAAACUGUAAUUAAUUAAUUUUUAAAAGAAUAAAAAUAUCUAAUAUCUUUCUAUGGAUAUUUUCGCUUUUCUUCAUUUGACAUGACACUUUUCCAAUUUUAAUAUUUAAUCAUAAUAUGCUAUGAUUAUUAUUUAAUAUUUAAUUAAUUAGAUAUUUUAUAAUAUACUAAAUUAAGUGUAGGGGAAAAAUGAUAUUUCAACUUUUACUUUAUGUGGUUUUCCACUUUUAGUAUAAUAUGAUAUGAUAUGAUGAUUAGUACUACGUAGUAGUAUACGGACCACUACUCGAAAUCUUGGUGCAACUAAAGCGAGCUUACUAAAGACAAGGACGGAGUAACUUCCACUAGACUAGUUAAGCCUACUACUUGGAUAAGUUAGUUCAUUUCGGAAAUCUUGCCGUAACUACUAACCCAUAUAGGGUUAAUGAACCUUCUGUAACCCCUUAACUAAAUAUAUUAUAUAAUCUUGUUAUCCAAAAAAAAUCACUUUAAUUAGUAGACUAUUAGCUACCUAAGAUGGAGAACCUCACAUAUUUUCAGAAAGGGGCUAAAACUAAAACCCAAAUCUCAGAUAAAUAUGAAAUUUGAAUCUUACCUGGCAAAAUGUGUGAAAUACACCCAAGUCACGCCGUCGAGGUAAAAUUCAAGUAAUUAUUUGUUCAAGUUUGGGAUAGUUAAAGUGCCUACUUGUACACUAGCAAAGUUAAACAUACAAAGUUAAAGUGCCUACUUUUGCACCAGUAUAUCGAUCCAAAUGAUGCAUGUAGAUCAACGUACAACACCAACGACGUAAAAUAUCAUCUUAAAGUUUGUGCAUAAGGAGAGGAGCACCAUACUGAGGAUGAAUAGUCACUACUGCAAAUGGAGCAUGUGUAUAUGAUGGUGAUAGUUCAAAGGAAAACCUUUGUAGUAUCAUUGCUAUCGCCAUUUUUGCUUCCAUCAUUGCAAAGUUUUGUCCGAUGCAAACACGCGGUCCCCAGCUAAAUGGGAUAAACGAGACUUGUCCUUUUGUUGCCUUUGACACUCCUUCACUGAAUCUUUCUGGUUUGAAUUCCUUUGCGUCUUCACCCCAUAUCUCCUUAUCAUAAUGUACUAGGAUUGUGGGUAUAACAAGUAGCACUCCGGCUGGUAGAUUUAGCUCCCCCAAUUUCACUUCCUCUUCAGUCCUUCUACCAAAUAUUGGCAAUGGAGGGAAUAGCCUUAACGUCUCGUACAAGAUCAUCAUUACCUAAGGGAAAGAGUAUUGCAUAAGUUGACAGUAGAAUGAGAGUGUUUGGGUAAAGCUUUGACCAAAUUGCUUUUAACCCAAAAUUAACCGAAAGCUGUAAGUUGAUUAGCCUCAACUUAAGAUUUUUAAUUUCUGCUUAUAGCUUUUAAAGCACUUUUGAUCUGAACAAAAUUUCUCAAGUACUGUUCUAUUGCUACUGUAUUUCGAAAUCCAGUAAAUAUCUUUUCAAAACAACAUGACUAACUCCCGCUCCAUUCCUUUCCGUUGUCCGUCCUUCUCCUUGUAAAUAUACUUUCUUAUUUAUAUCUUUUGUGAAUAGCUUUCAGAGCAUUUAGUCAUUUGAACACAAAUGCUUAUGGACACUUUUUUACCAAACAUAUUAGUUGUGUAUGCUUCUAUCCUAACACAUAAAUGUCUAUUUGUAAAAUCAAUUUCAACACAUAAAAAUGGUUUUCAACACUUAAUGUUUAUCAACUACCCUCAAUUAGUUAAGCCAAUUGGGGUCUUAGUUCACUUCUUGUCAACUUCGGCAGUCCUGUAGAAUCACUAUAUUGAGGACACAAAACGUACUCAUUAAGAGAUUGGAAGAAAAGAACUUGUGUGAAAAGUACUUACAAUUUUCAAGCGAUUUAGUCCUUCCAAAUCUGGUUUAUUAUUUCCAAAGACCUGCAACACCUCCUCUCUGGCACGUACUUGCCACUCCGGAUGUAAGCAGAGCAAAAUCAUUGUCCAUACGAGUAAUACUGAAGUUGUCUCUUGUCCAGCAAAAUAGAAUACUGAAGUUCGAUUUCUUUCAAAUUGGAUUCGAGUAAUAUGCCCAAUAAGUCAUCUUUACUGGUCUCCCCUGCUUCCAUUGCCCUCAAUCUUUUGUCAAUGAUACACCUAAUUGUGGUUUGAAUUUCCUUUUCAAUUUCCAGCAUUCUUUUGUUUCUUUUAGUAGGCAAGAACCUAUAUGAACAAAUUUAUUCAAACAAGAAAAGUCUAUUAGUAGAAAAAUUGCUAAGAAGAUUUUUCAUAUUUAAUUACAGAGAGAUUUUGCAAGCACAAAAGAAAGUUUUGAACAUGGAAAUGUGAUGUACAUAAAUUGUUGUACCUUGAUCCUGGUAUAUAAAUUGAUUGUCCUUUUUCGAUUACAUACUCAGCUUGUUCUUUCUGAAGUUCAAAUACUGUUCUUCCUUCUUCAUAGCUACUCCCAAAUGCUGUACGAGAUAUGACUUCACUAGUCAUUAUUUGAAGGUCUGGCCAUACAUCGAGUUCGAAUGAUGUUCCCGUUGGAACAAUUUCCUCCCAUUUGCUUAACAUUUCACUACAACUCAUAUAAAAUGCCGGCAGCAUAUGCUGUAAAUCAAAAAACCAGUAAGUGCUUGUUAUAAAUGGAUAACUUCUUAAUGUUAAUUAAGGCAUCUAAAUAAGCAAUACUAAGUCAAAGGCAUAUAAAAUUUACCGUGUUAUCUAAAUUUGGUUCUCUCUUGAUUCAAUUUGUUGUCUUACUUCCCUUCUAAGUCUCUUAAAAAAAGAACGUCACUUUCUAUAUUUAGUAAUUCUAUUAACUCCAAUAUGCCACAUUGAAUGUUUAGACCACAAGAUUCAAAGGAUAUUUUGGUACAUUAUACACAUCUUUAGUUUAAGACUACAAGAUUCAAAAGACUCCCUUAUUUUCUUAAACAUCGCCCGUGCCCAAUCAAACUAUCCUAGAAGUGAGGUUUGAAAAGGGUGGUGUGUGCAUAGACCUUACCCCUACCUAGUAAAAGUAGAAAGGUCAAGUAUAACAAUUCAAAACAGGUUUGAAAAAGCAAUACAGUAAUGACGAAAUCACGUUGAAAAUAAUGGAGAAAAGAGCAGUAACAACAUAAAAAUAUAACGGAAGGAGUAGUAAAGUAGAACCUUUAACUUCUCUAUGUGGAAGACGGGAUUGAUGAUUUUUCUGUGUUUGGCCCAUUUGUCUCCCUCAAUGUUUGGUAGACCCUGAGCCAAUAACUUGGUCAUUGGAUUGGGAUGAUUUUGCUUUAGAUACACAUAAUUCUUUGUGAAAAUCUCCUUUAAAUGUUCAGGAUCUGUGAUCAAUAUAACUGGAUAUGGGCCUAACCACAUAAAAGAACUUUUACCUGCAAGUAUCUCUUAGUUAUUGCUAUGAUUUAUUGUUUUUUUCCAGAAAAGGAAUUUCAACAACAAAAUCACUAAUGAAAUUCACAAACAAGGAAUAGGCAUUUCACGCACCCAAUGAUCUGGCCUAGUGGUUAAUUGUUGAAGUGUCUGACAAUCUCAUCUGAGCAUACUUUUAUUAUUUAAUUAUAUUCUCAACAUAGAUGAAGUAAUACAGAGACUAUAACACUAGGUGACUCUUCUUAUCUGACCUAGCUUCAGUGGACAAAUUAGUCGAGGUGUACGAAAGCUGAGCCAGACACCACGGUCAUUAAAAAAAAAAGGGAACAAACAUUUCACAACUUCAUCAAAAGUUCAGUCAGGCAUUUUACCAAACAGUUGAUACACAUCACACAACAUCUUUGUAACUAAGAAACAUACCAUUUUUGUUGAUGGAGUCAAGGAAAAAGGGGAUGAGCCUUUGAGCUAUAUCAUCAGAGAAAUUGAUAGGCUUAGAUUUGGCUUCUACUAUACUUUUUGUGAGUUCAUUCAAAUCUCCAUAGAGUAACUUGUAUGGAUUUCCUUUUAGACCAUUUUGUAUAAAGUAUUUCUCUACUUUCUUUGGUCUAAACCAUGCCCAAUUCAACACUUUCCAUGUAUAAAUUAAUAAAAUUGCAACACAUAUUGUUGCUAUUAUGUUGCUCAACAUCUCCAUUUUCACAAAGUCACAAAGCUUCUCUCAACUGCUUCCUCUUGUUAUACAAAAAUGGCCAUAAGUCAAAAGGAAUCUUUCUUGCUAAUUUUAAAUGGGGUGAGAUAUUUCAAUUUAUUUAAAAUGUAAACAUUUGAUUCAUAAGUUUAUACUUUGUAUAAUUUUUAGAGAUGCACAAGUAACUCUAGACUAUGAUCAAAAUUUCAAGACAUUGAUUAAUUAAAUUAAGGUCUUAUUAUCCCUAAACUUAUUUUUUGUAAUUUUAUACGUUUAUGUGGAACACUCCGUGACUCCAUGCAACUGAGGCACGUGAGAGAUAUUUGGAUGUCACGUAAGCCAAAAAGGUGUGCAAAAUUUUAAAAAAAAUGGGUUCAGGGAUAACAGGACCUUAGUUUAGUUAAUGUGUGUCUCUGAAAUUUUGGUCAUAGUCUAGGUAAUUUUUAUUAUUAUUUUACAUUUUGCAGAAAAAAAAUCAUGUUCAAGUUAAAAGAUUGUUUGUACCGUGUAAAAAAAUGAUACUGUUAUUGUUGACUAGUAGAUCUUGAUAAAGAUACGUGUAUUUGAAAGUUUGUAAUUGCAAAUAUAUUUAGUUAUAAAAGAAAUAGAGUGAUACGUGAUUUAUCAAUAGUGCAUUAGUAUACUUUGAUAUCUUGUUUAGGAAUCACGAUUAUAUCAUUUUAUAAUAUUGCAUAAGAAUUGAUUUGUUUUAUUUUUUUAUAUAUAUAGUUUUCAUAAUUUGUGGGAUUUUCUAUUAAGAAAAACAUACAACUAAUGAAAUCAAAAUUUCAAUUCAAUCUGAUUUUAAAUCAUGUCCAAAUAAAACCUUAAUCUGCUCAAGUUUUAGCCCAUUCAUCGCUAUCAAGAAUUUAAUGAAUAAAUAAGAAUUCUCUGUCCUUAAUUUGAGAUCUCAAAGUUUGACAUAGAUUGCAAUAUGGAUGUAUAUUAAUUGAAGCUCUAAUAUAAAUAUCGAACGUCAAUCAGAAAUUAAUGAAAAAAAUUUACCCCUCCUGCUAUGCCUGUUUAGUAAGUAUUUUUUUUUCAUAAUUCUGUCCUGUCUCUGAUCCUGUCCAACCAACAGGACAAGCCCUGCCUUACAUUAUCCCAUUUAUGUCUUUAUUUUAUUAUUUCAUUUGUCCUAGUUUCCAUCCUAUCUUUGUUAUUUUUCAACCUUUUUCAAUAUAUUUUAUAUACAACUUGUGUACUAAUGAUCUGAAAAUACUAAACUAAAGAUAGGGCAUCUACGUAAUAUAUACUAUUUAGUUAAAAAGAUAAAUAUAUUGUUUAAAUGGCUCGUUUACUUAUAAAAACAAAACAAAAGUAGUUGUGUGAUUGUGAUUUGUGACCUCUCUUGAUUCCAUCAAAAUAUGUUAGUACUAGUUUAGAGACCCAAAUUGAAUAAUAAGGUUAUGGCCCAAAGAAAAUAAAAAGAACUUAACGUGGCAUAAUACAUAGGUAAACAACUAUCUUGAAAUACUUUAAUUUUGAAAAUGUACGUCUAGACACCUCAACUUAUUACCCGUGUGUCUAGUGGACACUCGACGCUAACGUGACACAUAAUUUUUUAUGGUAUCUAGAUAUGCAUCGUCAAAGUUGGGAGUGUUAAAUUUCAACUGACGCCAAGUUAAGAUGUCUAUUUAUGUAUCAAACUAUCAAGUAUGUUUCAUGGUAUAUAGAGGUUAAGACACAAAUGAAGAGGUAAGUAUAUACAGGCCAAAGAAAACAAGAAAGUACAGAACACUUUAGAAACAUAGCAGUAGUUGUUUUGAUUGAUUCCUACAUAUGGACAAACCAAAAUGAACAUAGAGGUGCAAUAGAAAUAUAUAUAUAUGUUCUACACAACUUUAAGAAGAAACUUCUGCUCCACCAAGAGGCCAAAUGAAGUUCAUCAGAGGAGACCUAUGAUUAGUUGACCAAAUAAAUUUUGAUAAUGUUAACCAAGCUGCAAUUUAACGUUAACGUUUAAAUUCGAAGCAUGACUUCAGUCAUCAUGUGACAAAUUAGUAUGGAUCAUACAACACCAAUGGUGUAAAAUAUCAUAUUAGAGUUUGCGCCUAAGCAGAGGAGCACCAUACUGAGGAUGAAUAGUCACUACUGCAAAUGGAGCAUGUGUAUAUGAUGGAAGAGAGUUCAAAGGAGAACCUUUGUAGUAUCAUUGCUAUUGCCAUUUUUGCUUCCAUCAUCGCAAAGUUUUGUCCAAUGCAAAUUCGAGGCCCCCCUCCAAAUGGGAUAAACGAGAAUUGUCCUUUGGUUGCUUUUGACACUCCUUCACUAAAUCUUUUUGGUUUGAAUUCCUUUGCGUCUUCACCCCAUAUUUCCUUAUCAUAAUGUACUAAGAUUGCGGGUACUAUGAGUAUCACUCCAGCUGGUAGAUUUAGCUCCCCCAGUUUCACUUCUUCUUUAUUCGUUCUACCAAAUGUUGGUAAUGGAGGGAAUAGCCUUAGCGUCUCGUACAAGAUCAUGGUCACCUGUGAAGAAGGAUCGCAUAAGUUGGCAGAAGAAUUAGGGGGUGCUUUGCUAAAAGAUUUAACAAACUUAUACGCAUUUCUUGGCUAAUAAGUACCACUAUAUUGAGGACACAAAACAUACUAUUGAAAAGAACUUGUGAACAGUACUUACUAUUUUCAAGCGACCUAGUCCUUCCAAAUCUGGUUUAUCAUUUCCAAAUACCUGCAACACCUCCUCCCUGGCACGUACUUGCCACUCUGGAUGUAGGCACAACAAAAUCAUUGUCCAGACGAGCAACACUGAAGUGGUCUCUUGUCCAGCAAAAUAGAAUAACUUGCACUCUUCAAUCACUUCAAUUGUUGUCAUACCGAAAUCUUUGCUUCCGUGUUGUUCAAUUUCUUUCAUAUUGGAUUCAAGUAAUAUGCCUAAUAAGUCAUCUUUACUAGUCUCCCCUCCUUCCAUUGCCCUCAAUCUUUUGUCAAUGAUACGCCUAAUUGUUGUUUGAAUAUCCUUUUCAAUUUCCAGCAUUCUUUUGUUUCUUUUUGU
Molecule: long non-coding RNA, 11945 nt
Filed under: Solanum tuberosum (potato)
Lineage: Eukaryota; Viridiplantae; Streptophyta; Magnoliopsida; Solanales; Solanaceae
Description: long non-coding RNA (STUB_LNC007696)
Source: RNAcentral